This is a long non-coding RNA of Balaenoptera acutorostrata (minke whale), 341 nucleotides long. RefSeq lists it as uncharacterized. The record is from RefSeq and is a predicted model, not a curated record. The transcript is spliced from 3 exons. NCBI's taxonomy places the organism in Eukaryota, Metazoa, Chordata, Mammalia, Artiodactyla, Balaenopteridae.
CCCAUCUAGGACAUGAUGUUACAUUUAGUCAUCAUGUCUCCUUAAGCUUCUCUUGUCUGCGACAGUUUCUCAGACUUUCCUUAUUUCUGUAGACCUUGGCAGUUUUGAGGACUACUCAAACUGGUCAGCUUCUUCAACGAGUUCAGGGUGGUUGUACCAACUCCUGGCUUCACACACAAAUUCCACUAGAAGGGAUGCUUUAAGGGCACGAUCCAGAAGUUGCCCUCAUCUGGCAACAACCCAUAUGACUGUGGACAAGAGAACUGAUAAAUAAAGAGUGCACAUAUACCAAGAGCCAAGGAUACUGAGGUGAAUGAAAUUGAUCAUGCCCUUGAGGAGGU